GAUGAAGAACGCAGCGAACUGCGAUAAGUAAUGUGAAUUGCAGAGUUCAGUGAAUCAUCGAGUCUUUGAACGCACAUUGCGCCCCCUGGCAUUCCGGGGGGCAUGCCUGUCCGAGCGUCAUUGCUGCCCUUCAAGCCCGGCUUGUGUGUUGGGUCGUCGUCCCCCCCGGGGGACGGGCCCGAAAGGCAGCGGCGGCACCGCGUCCGGUCCUCGAGCGUAUGGGGCUUUGUCACCCGCUCGAUUAGGGCCGGCCGGGCGCCAGCCGGCGUCUCCAACCUUCUAUUUUACCAGGUUGACCUCGGAUCAGGUAGGGAUACCCGCUGAACUUAAGCAUAUCAAUAAGCGGAGGA
This 350-nucleotide unclassified non-coding RNA is filed under the name soil metagenome. RNAcentral's name for it is "partial contains 5.8S ribosomal RNA, internal transcribed spacer 2, and large subunit ribosomal RNA". The stretch from base 1 to 120 matches the Rfam family "5.8S ribosomal RNA", at positions 35 to 154 of the family's 154-position model. The record is from RNAcentral.